GCUGGCAUACGCUGAUGAUUUUGCCCACAAUGGCCGAGAUGAUAUGAUGGGAUGCCCUCAGAGGCUUGAUGAUGUCAUGAACACAUGUACAUAUGCUCGAUAUGACAUUCAUACGCAUAUGCAUGACACUACAAGUAUUCCAUGAUUUACAGAGUGAUCCAGACUUACAGGUAUAAAUAAUCAGUUUGACGAUCACUCAUAGCAGAUGAGAUUGGCAUUUAGCGAGGAUCGGUAAGACUCCACCUCAUUCGAUGUGCAGCCGAGUCUAUGAGUCAUCGCGUCAGAGUUUUGCUACAGACUUAUGGGUAGGCAGGUACCCUAUCUCAUUAGAUGUCAAAUAGUCUUAGAGGCUUUGUAGAUAGAGGUUCAUUUUGUACAGUAUGUCAGAGGCCUUGACGGCCCAUAUGUAUUCAUGUUUUAAGAAAAAUGGUUUAGUGAUACAGUGUUUUUCA
Molecule: long non-coding RNA, 452 nt
Organism: Nicotiana tabacum (common tobacco)
Lineage: Eukaryota; Viridiplantae; Streptophyta; Magnoliopsida; Solanales; Solanaceae
Source: RefSeq, a predicted model, not a curated record